Molecule: non-coding RNA, 35 nt
Organism: Myotis brandtii (Brandt's bat)
Lineage: Eukaryota; Metazoa; Chordata; Mammalia; Chiroptera; Vespertilionidae
Source: Rfam
CUGUCUAUUGCUUCAACAGUGUUUGGAUGGAACAG